Homo sapiens (human) is the source of this 569-nucleotide long non-coding RNA. Ensembl annotates it as SAP30L antisense RNA 1 (head to head). Its record names the gene SAP30L-AS1. The record is from Ensembl. Lineage: Eukaryota; Metazoa; Chordata; Mammalia; Primates; Hominidae.
AAAGUAGAGAAAGUGGAAGAGGAAAGAGUUACCCCAGCGAGAACCGGGAACCGGGCUGCAGACUCUCCGGCCCGGGGGAGGGAUGAGUUUCACUCUGGUUGCCCAGGCUGGAGUGCAAUGGCGCGAUCUCGGCUCACCGCAACCUCUGCCUCCCGGAUUCAAGCGAUUCUCCUGCUUCAGCCUCCCGAGUAGCUGGGAUUACAGGCAUGUACCACUGCUCCCGGCUAAUCUUGUAUUUUUAGUAGAGAUGGGGUUUCUCCAUGUUGGUCCGGCUGGUCUCGGACUCCCAACCUCAGGUGAUCUGCCCGCCUCGGCCUCCCAAAGUGCUGGGAUUACGGGUGUGAGCCACCGCUCCCAGCCAUUCUUUAUGUAUAAUUUUGUAGUCUUUAUUCAAGGCAUACUUUAUCAUAAUCUUUCCCCAUAUUGCUAUGUAGUUUUCACAGUUGCCAUUUUUUAUGUAGUACAGUGCAGUUUCUGUAGUACAGUACACUGUGGUGCUAAAGACAGUUGGCUUUGCUGUCAGAACUGGGUUCAGAUCUGGACUCCACCCAUGACUUGUUAUAACAUGU